AUAUCACUAAGCGCAGGAAAAGAAACUAACUAGGAUUCCCUUAGUAACGGCGAGUGAAGCGGGAAGAGCUCAACUUUAAAAUCUGGGCGCAAGCUCCGAAUUGUAGUUUAGAGAGGCGUUUUCGGCGACGGCUCCGGUAUAAAUCCUUUGGAACAGGGUAUCAUAGAGGGUGAGAAUCCCGUCUUUGACCGGAGAGCAAAAAUGUUGCUAUGUGAUACGCUUUCAACGAGUCGGGUUGUUUGGGACUACAGCUCAAAAUGGGUGGUAAAUUUCAUCUAAAGCUAAAUAUUGGCCAGAGACCGAUAGCGCACAAGUA
RNAcentral lists this ribosomal RNA (316 nucleotides) under uncultured eukaryote. Its description in RNAcentral is "partial large subunit ribosomal RNA". It matches the Rfam family "Eukaryotic large subunit ribosomal RNA", at positions 40 to 350 of the family's 3401-position model. The record is from RNAcentral.